UACGUAGGGUGCGAGCGUUAAUCGGAAUUACUGGGCGUAAAGCGUGCGCAGGCGGUUUUGUAAGCCAGAUGUGAAAUCCCCGGGCUUAACCUGGGAAUGGCAUUUGGGACUGCAAGGCUUGAGUGCGGCAGAGGAGACUGGAAUUCCUGGUGUAGCAGUGAAAUGCGUAGAUAUCAGGAGGAACACCGAUGGCGAAGGCAGGUCUCUGGGCUGACACUGACGCUCAUGCACGAAAGCGUGGGGAGCAAACAGGAUAGAAACCCCGUGUAGUCCAGAUCCA
RNAcentral lists this ribosomal RNA (280 nucleotides) under uncultured bacterium. RNAcentral's name for it is "partial 16S ribosomal RNA". It matches the Rfam family "Bacterial small subunit ribosomal RNA", at positions 524 to 803 of the family's 1533-position model. The record is from RNAcentral.